UGGGGAAUAUUGCACAAUGGGCGCAAGCCUGAUGCAGCCAUGCCGCGUGUAUGAAGAAGGCCUUCGGGUUGUAAAGUACUUUCAGUCGGGAGGAAGGUGGUAAGGUUAAUAACCUUGGCAAUUGACGUUACCGACAGAAGAAGCACCGGCUAACUCCGUGCCAGCAGCCGCGGUAAUACGGAGGGUGCAAGCGUUAAUCGGAAUUACUGGGCGUAAAGCGCACGCAGGCGGUUGAUUGAGUCAGAUGUGAAAUCCCCGGGCUUAACCCGGGGAUUGCAUCUGAUACUGGUCAGCUAGAGUCUUGUAGAGGGGGGUAGAAUUCCAUGUGUAGCGGUGAAAUGCGUAGAGAUGUGGAGGAACACCGGUGGCGAAGGCGGCCCCCUGGACAAAGACUGACGCUCAGGUGCGAAAGCGUGGGGAGCAAACAGG
This 429-nucleotide ribosomal RNA is filed under the name Chloroflexota bacterium. RNAcentral's name for it is "Chloroflexi bacterium partial 16S ribosomal RNA". It matches the Rfam family "Bacterial small subunit ribosomal RNA", at positions 355 to 776 of the family's 1533-position model. Lineage: Bacteria; Bacillati; Chloroflexota. The record is from RNAcentral.